AAAAAUAGUUUGGAACAAAUUGUUGUUGCUAACUAUAAUUUAAGUGGUUCAAUUCCAUUUUAUUUUUU
RNAcentral lists this transfer RNA (68 nucleotides) under Tonicina zschaui. Its description in RNAcentral is "tRNA-Ser". Lineage: Eukaryota; Metazoa; Mollusca; Polyplacophora; Chitonida; Ischnochitonidae. The record is from RNAcentral.